UUUUUUUUGAAAAGAGUCUCUCUCUCUCUUUUUGUUUUCUCCGCAAUUUCAUUCCCCCAUCUCUCCCCCAUCUCUCCUGUGAUUUUAUCAUUCGAAACCAUGGUUUCCUAAAAUCUUUCCAUAUCUCAAUCUGUUACUGAGUCAGACGAAGAAACACCUGAAUAAAUCUCUUUCUAUCUCAAUCGCCUCGACUCUCUGGUGGAACCCUUAUCGCAUGUUUAUGUUCACUCGCCUCGACUCCGACGGAACCCUUAUCGUCUGAUUAUGUUCACUCCUCGACGGAACCCUUAUUGUUUCAAUAUCUCUUUUUCGUUUAUAAGUAUUUUCCCUGUUUUUUAAAAAUCAUUUUCAACAUUAGGACUCAUACACGUUUCAUACUUUGUUCAAGCUCAGGUCUUGAUUCGGUUUAAAAGACGAGAUAACGUUGUUACAAAAGACUAUCGCUCUUCCGGGAUACGUCCAGUCCGUCCAGAUGGUAAUGACCAGAGCCUUUCCUGCUCUUACUAGAGUUGUGCGGCAAGAAUCGGCAUCAGAGUAGUUGGCUGGUGUUGAGGAUGCUGAUUUUUCACACCCCCUAAGGGACGCAAGGACAUUGGAUGCCACUAAAAAUGACAUAGUCUUCGAGAUCCACCAAGUCGUGGACAGACAAAAACCCGGACAGGUUGUUUCAUGGUUGCUCUCGAUACUAGGAAGAUGGAUGCGACUUCUUUGAAUGGUACGAUGAAGACGAAGUUACGGGUGGCCAAAGAGGUGCCUUAUUGAAGCACUUAACGAAAUUAGACAGAAAAGACUAGAAAUCAAGAGGCUAACGAAUAAUGUAGACAUGUUACGGGCAGAGAUUAAGAAGCAACGUCUUUCCGAAGCUCAACCGAAGAAGGAGGACGUCGACUCGGCCAACCACCCCAGGAGGUAUCCCUUGUCGCACCAGAUUUCAAUUGGAAGGAUAUCAUGUUUGGCUGCUUUCGGUCGAAUUAGCAUAAUCUCCUUCAUUAUGCAUGUGUUGUUCGUAGUCAUGUUAGUCAUGUUUAGCUGGGACAAAUCAGCAAAAUGUACUAGAUAUACAUCCCCUUGUCUGUCAUCUCGGUUUGUUGUCGCGGCCAAAUUACCGGCUAAUAUACUUACUAUCUCGUACGUUUAUUUUCUUAGCUGGAUAAAUAUAAUGGAAAAUCAAAAUAGUUUUCUAA
Long non-coding RNA from Raphanus sativus (radish), 1184 nucleotides. RefSeq lists it as uncharacterized. The record is from RefSeq and is a predicted model, not a curated record. The transcript is spliced from 3 exons. Lineage: Eukaryota; Viridiplantae; Streptophyta; Magnoliopsida; Brassicales; Brassicaceae.